CGGUCCCGAUUUAUCGGGACAGUGGCGAAUGGGUGAGUAACGCGUAAGUAACCUGCCCCUAAGUAAGGGAUAACUUCGAGAAAUUGGAGCUAAUACUGUAUGUGGUGAUGGGGGUAAGGCUUCAUCACUAAAGCCUUCGGGUGCUUGGGGAGGGGCUUGCGUCCGAUUAGCUAGUUGGUAAGGUAACGGCCUACCAAGGCGAUGAUCGGUAGCUGGUCUGAGAGGACGAUCAGCCACACUGGGACUGAGACACGGCCCAGACUCCUACGGGAGGCAGCAGCAAGGAAUAUUGUGCAAUGGGCGAAAGCCUGACACAGCGACGCCGCGUGAGGGAAGAAGGCCUUCGGGUUGUAAACCUCUUUUCUCAGGGAAGAAAAAUGACGGUACCUGAGGAAUAAGUCUCGGCUAACUACGUGCCAGCAGCCGCGGUAAUACGUAGGAGGCAAGCGUUAUCCGGAUUUAUUGGGCGUGAAGAGGGUGUAGGCGGCUCUUCAAGUUGGAUGUAAAAUCUCCCGGCUCAACCGGGAGGGAACAUUCAAUACUGCUGGGCUAGAGUGCAGCAGGGGGAGGUGGAAUUCCCGGUGGAGUGGUGAAAUGCGUAGAUAUCGGGAGGAACACCAGUGGCGAAGGCGGCCUCCUGGGCUGUUACUGACGCUGAGACCCGAAAGCGUGGGGGGCGAACAGAAUUAGAUACUCUGGUAGUCCACGCCGUAAACGAUGGACACUAGGUAUGGGGAGUAUCGACCCUUUCCGUGCCGAAGCUAAC
RNAcentral lists this ribosomal RNA (766 nucleotides) under uncultured bacterium. RNAcentral's name for it is "bacterial SSU rRNA". It matches the Rfam family "Bacterial small subunit ribosomal RNA", at positions 67 to 856 of the family's 1533-position model. The record is from RNAcentral.